Molecule: ribosomal RNA, 460 nt
Filed under: uncultured bacterium
Lineage: Bacteria
Description: partial 16S ribosomal RNA
Rfam family: Bacterial small subunit ribosomal RNA
Source: RNAcentral
CCUACGGGCGGCAGCAGUGAGGAAUAUUGGUCAAUGGGCGAGAGCCUGAACCAGCCAAGUAGCGUGAAGGAUGACUGCCCUACGGGUUGUAAACUUCUUUUAUAAAGGAAUAAAGUGAGGCAAGUGUGCCUUUUUGUAUGUACUUUAUGAAUUAGGAUCGGCUAGCUCCGUGCCAGCAGCCGUGGUAAUCCGGAGGAUCCGAGCGUUAUCCGGAGUUAUUGGGUUUAAAGGGAGCGUAGAUGGGUUGUUAAGUCAGGUGUGAAAGUUUGCGGCUCAACCGUAAAAUUGCAAUUGAUACUGGGAGACUAGAGUACAGGUGAGGUAGGCGGAAUUCGUGGUGUAGCAGUGAAAUGCUUAGAUAUCACGAAGAACACUGAUGGCGAAGGCAGCUUACUAAACUUCCACUGACAUUGAGGCUCGAAAGUGAGGGGAUCAAACAGGAUUAGAUACCCUGGUAGUC